UUAAGUUCAGCGGGUAUCCCUACCUGAUCCGAGGUCAACCUAAUAGAAAGUUUUAACGGCGCGAACUCCCCUCUUCAUGAGCGAAUUGAAUGCCACAACGCUGAGAAUCGGGUCGUCCAGCCGGUGAAAUCGAGGCGUAAAGGAGCCUUAUCGCCCAAUACCAAGCCAGGCUUGAGUGGUGUAAUGACGCUCGAACAGGC
This 200-nucleotide unclassified non-coding RNA is filed under the name Capnodiales sp. RNAcentral describes it as "partial internal transcribed spacer 2". The record is from RNAcentral. Lineage: Eukaryota; Fungi; Ascomycota; Dothideomycetes; Capnodiales.